UGCACGCCGCGGGUAAAUUCGAAGGGUGGCGAGCCGUUUAUUCGUAAAUUUACUGCGGCGUUAAGUAGACCGCCGGGCGGUUCUGUUAAAUUAGAAGUUAAAAUUCCCCCGGCUCUUAACUCUCGGGAACCUCCUUUCGAAAAUUGGCAGGCUUGAGUCUUCUUAGAGGGGGGGUAGAAUUCCAGGUUGUAGCGGUGAAAAUGCGUAGAGAUUUGGAGCGAAUACCGGUGGCGAAAGGCGGCCCCCCUGGACGAAAGAAUGACGCUCCAGGGUGCGGAAAGCGUGGGGAGCAAACAGGAUUAAAAUACCCUGGUAGUCCACGCCCUUAAACGAUGUUGAACUUGAGGCUGUUUCCCUGAGGAGUGGCUUUCCGGAGCUAACGCGUUAAGUCGACCGCCUGGGGAGUACGGCCGCAAGCUCAAAACUCAAAAGAAUUGACGGGGGGCCGCACAAGCGGUGGAGCAUGUGGUUUAAUUUGAUGCAACGCGAAGAACCUUACCUGGCCUUGACAUCCAGAGAACUUAGCAGAGAUGCUUCGGUGCCUUCGGGAACUCUGAGACAGGUGCUGCAUGGCGGUCGUCAGCUCGUGUUGUGAAAUAUUGGGUUUACUCCCGCCACCAGCGCAACCCUUAUCCUUUGUUAUCAGCGGGUGGAGCCCGGAACUCAAAGGAGACUGCCGGUGAUAAACCGGAGGAAGGUGGGGAUGACGUCAAGUCAUCAUGGCCCUUACGGCCAGGGCUCCACACGUGCUACAAUGGCGCAUACAAAAAGAAGCGACCUCGCGAGAGCAAGCGGACCUCAUAAAAUAAGGAGUUGAUAUGAUCGUACGUUGGUAAUU
This 838-nucleotide ribosomal RNA is filed under the name Pantoea eucrina. Its description in RNAcentral is "bacterial SSU rRNA". It matches the Rfam family "Bacterial small subunit ribosomal RNA", at positions 506 to 1313 of the family's 1533-position model. Lineage: Bacteria; Pseudomonadati; Pseudomonadota; Gammaproteobacteria; Enterobacterales; Erwiniaceae. The record is from RNAcentral.